Molecule: ribosomal RNA, 487 nt
Filed under: uncultured Bacteroidota bacterium
Lineage: Bacteria; Pseudomonadati; Bacteroidota
Description: bacterial SSU rRNA
Rfam family: Bacterial small subunit ribosomal RNA
Source: RNAcentral
GCCGCAGAGUUUGAUCAUGGCUCAGGAUGAACGCUAGCGGCAAGCUUAAUACAUGCAAGUCGAGGGGCAGCAGGUUUGUAGCAAUACAAAUGCUGGCGACCGGCAAACGGGUGCGGAACACGUACAGAACCUUCCUUUAAGUGGGGAAUAGCCCAGGGAAACUUGGAUUAAUACCCCGUAAUAUAUAGAAGUGGCAUCACUUUUAUAUUAUAGCUCAGGCGCUUGAAGAUGGCUGUGCGGCUGAUUAGGUAGUUGGCGGGGUAACGGCCCACCUAGCUUGCGAUCAGUAACUGGUGUGAGAGCACGACCAGUCACACGGGCACUGAGACACGGGCCCGACUCCUACGGGAGGCAGCAGUAAGGAAUAUUGGGCAUGGACGCAAGUCUGACCCAGCUAUGCCGCGUGGAGGAUGAAGGUCCUCUGGAUUGUAAACUUCUUUUAUCUGGGAAGAAACCUAUUUUUUCUAAAAUAGCUGACGGUACCAGG